Molecule: transfer RNA, 72 nt
Filed under: Ornithorhynchus anatinus (platypus)
Lineage: Eukaryota; Metazoa; Chordata; Mammalia; Monotremata; Ornithorhynchidae
Rfam family: tRNA
About the family: Transfer RNA (tRNA) molecules are approximately 80 nucleotides in length.
Source: Rfam by way of RNAcentral
GGUAGAGUAGCAUAUGGAUAGAGCACAGACCUGGAAGUCAGAAGAACCUGGGUUCUAAUCCCCGCUCUGCCA